UAGUGAAAAAAAAAAUUAACUUUUCAAUUUGUGUCUGUAAAAAACGACUACUAAUUAGACGUCAAAAGAGUAUGGGUUGGUACUUGGUAUUGUAGCGUGGUUGUGGUGUUAGAGCCACUCAUUCACAAAUGACAACCAUGCAAGCAGGGGCGGACCCACAUUAGGUUGACGGGGUUCAGAUGCACCCCCUGAAAAAAGAGAAAACUCCACAUACCCCCCUGUAUUAUUAUUUUUUUGAACCCCUUGAAAAUUUCAAUUUGCACCAAAGACCCUUUCUCUCUCACUAACACACACACUUCUUACUCGGGCCCUCAUCCUCUUGCUCUCGCUAGGUCAAGCGCGCACACACACCAGCCACCACCACGGCACCACGUCGCUCAGCCACCAGUGCACCACCGACCACCACCACAGCACCACCAGUGGGUUACCAGUCCAGUGAGUCCACCACGCACCCUUGAUUUUUGCGCUACAGUAGCAUUUCAGCCCAGCCGUGAAUUGGGGUUUGUUUCUUUUCCUCUGGUAGCAAGGAUCCUGGCUCGUUAAUACUCUCCUGUUGUAGCUACAAGUGUCUGCUUUUGCUCCUUGCCCGCAACUGCUAUGUUUCUUUUCUUAUUCUUUUUUUUGAGUUUGUAGUAGUUGUAGUUGUCUGUAGUAGCUUUUUUCUCUUUUCUCUAUUGUUCUGUGUUUGCUUUUCUAUGCAAGGGGCCUCUUGAAAUUUAGUGGCCUUUUGCUUUGAUUGUAUCUUUCUCUUUUGUUGAAAUAAACUCAGCUUUCUAAAAAAAACUAGUGAAUUAGAAGUUUCA
Molecule: long non-coding RNA, 803 nt
Organism: Lotus japonicus
Lineage: Eukaryota; Viridiplantae; Streptophyta; Magnoliopsida; Fabales; Fabaceae
Exons: 2
Source: RefSeq, a predicted model, not a curated record